RNAcentral lists this long non-coding RNA (617 nucleotides) under Mytilus galloprovincialis (Mediterranean mussel). The record is from RNAcentral. Lineage: Eukaryota; Metazoa; Mollusca; Bivalvia; Mytilida; Mytilidae.
CAAAGACACCAGACCAUAUGUUAUAUAAUCCCCCGAUUGAUUAUCAAGACUUAUCAAUUACACCAGACAAAAUGUAAUACAAUCCACCGAUUGCUUAACAUGUCUGUCGCAAUGACAACAUAAAAUAUGCAAUAUAAUCCAUCGAUUGAUUAUGCUGUAUGUCUCAAUGACACCAGACAACAUAUGAUACAAUCCCCUGAUUGAUUAGUCUGUCCGUUUCAAGGACACCAAGUAACAUAUAAUGUAUUUCACCAUUUGAUUAUGCUGUCUGUCUCAAUGACAUCAGACAACAUAUAUAAUAAAAAAAAAUUAUUAUUCUGUCCGUCGCAUUGAUACCAGGUAACACAAUGUAUUUCACCAUUUGAUUAUGCUGUCUGUCUCAGUGACACCAGAAAUACAUCGAUUGAUUAUCAUGUUUGUCUUCAUGACGUCAGACAAUAUAUAGUAGAGCAACGUUUUUGAAAACAACAGAGAGAGAGGGCAUCACUACUGUUGUACAUUUUAAUAAAACACCGUUAUACAGAAUUAAGAAAAAACAAAAACAUAACUGUAUCAAUGCUGUUUACAGUUUAGAAUUAAAAUUCAUGCAAACAAAUGGAGUUAAAAUUCAUUGAACG